GAAUAACUCUCGACAGUGGAUAUCUCAGCUCUUGCAGCGAUGAAGGACAUAGUGAAAUGUGAUACUUAAUGUGAAUUAUAGAAUCUUGUCAGCCAUCGAGUCUUUGAACAUGAGUUGCACCUGAAACCAUUAAGUUGAGGUGCAAUUGAAACCAUUA
RNAcentral lists this ribosomal RNA (157 nucleotides) under Lespedeza thunbergii subsp. formosa. Its description in RNAcentral is "5.8S ribosomal RNA". It matches the Rfam family "5.8S ribosomal RNA". Rfam says of the family: 5.8S ribosomal RNA (5.8S rRNA) is a component of the large subunit of the eukaryotic ribosome. It is transcribed by RNA polymerase I as part of the 45S precursor that also contains 18S and 28S rRNA. The record is from RNAcentral. Lineage: Eukaryota; Viridiplantae; Streptophyta; Magnoliopsida; Fabales; Fabaceae. RNAcentral also lists the same sequence under 1 other name.